This 75-nucleotide transfer RNA is filed under the name Heterostelium album PN500. Its description in RNAcentral is "Polysphondylium pallidum PN500 tRNA". It matches the Rfam family "tRNA". From Rfam's summary of the family: Transfer RNA (tRNA) molecules are approximately 80 nucleotides in length. The record is from Rfam by way of RNAcentral. Lineage: Eukaryota; Evosea; Eumycetozoa; Acytosteliales; Acytosteliaceae.
GUCAGGAUGGUGUAGUUGGUUUAUCACAAAACCUUAACACGGUUUGGGUCAUGGGUUCGAUUCCCAUUCUUGAUA